AGCGAACGCUGGCGGCAGGCUUAACACAUGCAAGUCGAGCGGGCAUCCUUGUGGUGUCAGCGGCAGACGGGUGAGUAACGCGUGGGAACGUGCCCUUCGGUUCGGAAUAACUCAGGGAAACUUGAGCUAAUACCGGAUACGUGCGAGAGCAGAAAGGUUUAUCUGCCGAAGGAUCGGCCCGCGUCUGAUUAGCUAGUUGGUGAGGUUAUGGCUCACCAAGGCGACGAUCAGUAGCUGGUCUGAGAGGAUGAUCAGCCACACUGGGACUGAGACACGGCCCAGACUCCUACGGGAGGGAGCAGUGGGGAAUAUUGGACAAUGGGGGCAACCCUGAUCCAGCCAUGCCGCGUGAGUGAUGACGGCCUUAGGGUUGUAAAGCUCUUUUCUCCGGGACGAUAAUGACGGUACCGGAGGAAUAAGCCCCGGCUAACUUCGUG
Molecule: ribosomal RNA, 437 nt
Filed under: uncultured bacterium
Lineage: Bacteria
Description: partial 16S ribosomal RNA
Rfam family: Bacterial small subunit ribosomal RNA
Source: RNAcentral